RNAcentral lists this long non-coding RNA (359 nucleotides) under Trifolium pratense (red clover). RNAcentral describes it as "long non-coding RNA (TPRA_LNC007165)". The record is from RNAcentral. Lineage: Eukaryota; Viridiplantae; Streptophyta; Magnoliopsida; Fabales; Fabaceae.
UAAGGAACUCAUCACAAAGUAGAAGAAACACUAAAAGUGAAAGUGACUUAGGCAAGGUUCAAUGUUAUGGAUGCAAUCAAUUUGGACAUUACAAAAAUGAAUGUCCAAAGUUAUGGCAAAAACCUCCAUUCAAAAAUAAAUCUAUGAUGGCUACAUGAGAUGAAUUAGAUGAAGCAUGAAGAACAACAAUAUGCAAAAAUGUGCCUCAUAACACACUCAGACUCUCAAGAGGUAUCACUCGAACCUUGUGCUUCAUGCCUAAAAAAUGAGCAUUUAUUUGAUAACCUUUUAUAUGACUCACAGGCUUAGAGAUGAUGUCACUAAAAUAACUCAAGAGAGAGAUGAAUACAAAGCUGAAA